UAUAGGUCUUUGUGUAUGAAAAUGUAAGCAGAAAAACACCCUGAAACUAUAUUAUUCUGUGUGGCUGGGAAGGUGAGUGUGAGAGUGUGACGGGUUAACUUAUACCCUAUUUCAUAGUGUAAGUUGUUGAGGUUUACGUAACACACUGAGAAAUGGAAACCCCCUUGAUAUUCCCGGAAAUCUUUCAUGCCAUAUAACAGGUUUGGAGCAUUUUGAGUCGUUGCUACAGUACAUGUUAGAGCGCAGCUGUGAGUUUCUCACAUUUUACCUUGUUUCCCAAGAAUGGUUUGCAACAGCUGGCUUACAUCAAGGGUCUACCAAGCAUUUUUUCAAGCACAUCUUUUCCCUUUUUGACAUAUCUCACAAAGCAGACAUACACCACUGUGUCAGUGCCUUAUCUAGCCAUGAACUUCCUGUCAUUAAGUAACUCAUCCUCAUGAAGAAAGACUAAAGCAUCUCAUUUAGAGAGAGUCUCAAUUAACUCCAUGCCAAAGGACGCUCAAUUUACGCUCAUAGCUUUCAAAAUGAACUGAGAUCCAAUGAUCUGCCUCAAGUAGAGCUUAAGAGCUCUUCUUUUGUUAUAGUUCAAUAUUAAAGAAAAGGGAUUUUUUAGUGUUUCGAGUCAAUGGAUCAACUUUUAUGCUUUACUUAUGGCCUUGGAUCAGAGCAGCAAUUAUUAUUGUGACAAAUUCGCUACCUUGCACAAGACAUUUUUGCCCCUUCGGGAGAUUCAAAGCAUCAGAUCAAAGACAAAGAACAUUAUAUUUUAAACUCAAGAAAGUCCAGCUGACCAUGUACAGCAGCAAUGUUCAAAUACACUAGGCAGGGGUUUAGCUUCUGUUUGACAUGAUAUUGGAAAUCUUUUUACACUAUACACUGACAAUUCAAUUAAUUGAGCUCUUGUGGUACAACCCCAUUAUAAUGUGGUCCCUUUGAGCAUUUUAUGCCUUGUAUGGAAUGUGUGUUUGUGUGUCUGUGUGCGAGUAUAGAUAACAGAUUAGGUCUCUUAGGUUUUCAAACUAGUUAAAAUCAAUAGUCUAUAUGGUUGUCUUUGUCUCGAGAUGACGCUUACAUUUUGUGAUUCACUGUGGCUUUUUUGCUUGAAGGAAUUGUUUUAACAUUUUAACGUGUCAAAAUCAACUCCCAUUAUGUUGGUUUGUGUUUUUUAUUUAUUUGUGUAGAAUCAUUUGAAAUACAAAAAAUGACAGAAAACAUGAUCACUGGUAGGAAGCAAGCAACAUAUGUGGAUUAUGACAUAUAAAGAGAUACAAAUAUAUUCUUUUGUUAUAUAUCUAAUAUUGUAUGUAACAAAUUCUUUAUAAAAUGUGAAUGUAAAACAUUUUAAGCAAAGUGUCUACUGUUAUAUCAUGCUGUGUGAUGUCGGUAAAGAUAUAAAUAUUCAGAAAUGUAUUAUUCCGUGUAACCGGAGGUGAUGUAGCCACAUGAAUGUAAACGGAGCAGCUCUGGCAUUUCUGAGUGAUGCUUACAGAAUAAUGUGUACAACUACAAAACUGUCAUUUUGAUUGUAAGUGACAAACAUAUAUGAAAAAGUUCAAAUAUGCACACUAUAACAAUAAAGUCCUUACAAUACAUAUUGGGAAA
Molecule: long non-coding RNA, 1602 nt
Organism: Cyprinus carpio carpio
Lineage: Eukaryota; Metazoa; Chordata; Actinopteri; Cypriniformes; Cyprinidae
Source: Ensembl